AAGCCGCGUGAGGGAUGGAGGUACAGAGUAUCGUAAACCUCUUUUGUCAGGGAACAAAGGGCGCCACGUGUGGCGCUAUGAGGGUACCUGAAGAAAAAGCAUCGGCUAACUCCGUGCC
RNAcentral lists this ribosomal RNA (118 nucleotides) under uncultured bacterium. RNAcentral describes it as "partial 16S ribosomal RNA". It matches the Rfam family "Bacterial small subunit ribosomal RNA", at positions 394 to 509 of the family's 1533-position model. The record is from RNAcentral.